Molecule: ribosomal RNA, 420 nt
Filed under: Fusobacteriota bacterium
Lineage: Bacteria; Fusobacteriati; Fusobacteriota
Description: Fusobacteria bacterium partial 16S ribosomal RNA
Rfam family: Bacterial small subunit ribosomal RNA
Source: RNAcentral
UGGGGGAUAUUGCACAAUGGGCGAAAGCCUGAUGCAGCGACGCCGCGUGGGGGAUGAAGGCUUUCGGGUUGUAAACCUCUUUCGCUAUCGAACAAGGCCCGCUUAGGGUGGGUUGAGGGUAGGUGGAGAAGAAGCGCCGGCUAACUACGUGCCAGCAGCCGCGGUAAUACGUAGGGCGCGAGCGUUGUCCGGAAUUAUUGGGCGUAAAGGGCUUGUAGGCGGCUUGUUGCGCCUGCUGUGAAAACGCGGGGCUUAACUUCGCGCGUGCAGUGGGUACGGGCAGGCUUGAGUGUGGUAGAGGUAAGUGGAAUUUUUAGUGUAGCGGUGAAAUGCGUAGAUAUUAAAAAGAAUACCGGUGGCGAAGGCGACUUACUGGGCUCAUUCUGACGCUGAGGAACGAAAGCGUGGGUAGCAAACAGG